Molecule: long non-coding RNA, 1312 nt
Organism: Patella vulgata (common limpet)
Lineage: Eukaryota; Metazoa; Mollusca; Gastropoda; Patellidae
Exons: 2
Source: RefSeq, a predicted model, not a curated record
GUUAUCAACUCACUAUUAUACGACUAUGGGCAUUAUUUCCCACCCUUAAAAAUCAUUGACACAGGAAAUAAUAACACAAUUACCUCCCUUGUUUUCCUAUUGCCUCCAUGCAUUAGCUAUCUUCAAAUGUUGGAAUUCGAAAAUGAUAAUUUUGCCAAUUUCGCAGCUGGCAAUAGUGAAUUAUAGGAUUAAUAGGAUUAUUCUUUAACAAGGUAGGACUGUGUAUGGAUACCAUCUAUUUUAAGGCUUUAUUUUAAUAAAUUUUAAAAAUAUAACUUAACAAAUAUGAAAUUGUAGCUUUAAGAUCUAGUCUUGUCCCAUUGAUCAAAAUUUUGAAAUGUUCAGUUUGCUUGUUACUCUUCUUUUGUUUUUAGGGGUGGUUGAGUGGUCCAAGCUCAUAAGAUCUUUCAUUGAGUCAAACCUCCUGGGUGUCAGUCCAAAAAUGUUGGUUUGUUUUGUGUGAGUGUUAAUCCCCAUUUCUCUCUUUUUUUACUUUAAGAUGUCAGAUGAAGAUACAGAAGGAAGAUGUUGGAACCGAACCUGCAGUGUCUCUUAGUAAGAUAGGCUCUAGAAAUUUUGCAGCAGCUGAUAUCUUGUUUAAGCUCUACGAAACACAACCAGUCAUAGAGGUUUCUGCUUACACUAAACCUGAUCAAGCGAUAGAAUCUGUCAGUUUUGAUACGUUGCUUAAAGAAGCGGAGGUGUUGAAGAAAGCUGCCGAGGAUGCAGGAGAAAACGUUACAGCUACUACAGCUGAGGGAACUGAUUCAGAAACUGAGACCAGUGACACAGAUGUUGAAAUGAAGGAAGAAGUAACAGAUUCACAGGCUAAGAAGAAAUAUCCUAGAAAACCACAUUACCGUCAUGCUGAUAGAUUUAUUUUAAAAGCUGCCCAGGCACGACUAGACGAAUUCAUAAAAGUUAAAAUGCUAAAAGAUCUACUGUUUGGACCUGCUUUCCCUCAUCAUAUCACACGCCAGAUUAACGGCUUACUGUAUAACCUCCCCGUUCCAGUUCGCUUUAUAAAUCAUUCCACUAGAAAUCAGAUGUACACCAUUGUAACGCAAAGUAUGUCACCGAUCAAAAUUGUCGCAUUUCUCAAAGCCAACGGUGGACAGUCUGGUCGCUUUCGUUAAGUCGACAAAUCAGAACUUCCGAUACAUAAGGACAUUUUACCAGAACUUAAAAGUAGGGAAAUUUUAACUAAGAUCAAAUCCAAAUUUUAGUAGAAAUUUCAAUUUUGAUUGGCUAAGCACUAAAACCAAUCAAAUUGUUGGCUUUUUUUUGCUAAUAAAUAUAAGUGCUAGUCUAA